Molecule: transfer RNA, 80 nt
Filed under: Caudoviricetes sp.
Lineage: Duplodnaviria; Heunggongvirae; Uroviricota; Caudoviricetes
Description: tRNA-Asp
Source: RNAcentral
GUUGCGUUUCCUGUUGGUUGGGAAUGUCAGCCUGUCUCCCCCACGGCUGGCAAGCAACGGUUCGAUUCCGUUACGCAGCA